ACAGCUGUCACGUGGCUUGAAAUACACUCUUGAUCAGCUGCCUCCCCUGCCCUAACUGCUCCCCGCCAUGGCACCACUGGUAUUUCCUGGGCCCGCCACAUCUCAGAGUCUGCUUCCGGGGACCCGGGACUGAACCUUUACCUAUGGCAGAGUUUAAGAAGAUGGAUCAGGGCCAGACAUCUACAAAACCUGGAGCAAUGCUGUCCACACAAUUCUAAAACUCCUGGGGAACAAGGCCUGUCUGCCUCUAACUUAGUUUCCAAUCCCCCACAGCACCCAAAAGAAGCAUUUGGCACCGACAAAUCAGGAGGUGACUGAGACCACACAACUUCAGCGUGUUGCCUUUCACUCGGCCUGUUCGGUGUUUCACCCUUUGACUCUAAAAGCUGCUCCAAACUCUUCCUUGUUUUUUUCCCACUUCGUUUAUUGUUCUGCUUUUGGUUUUCAAUUUCUCUGAGUUUAAUGUAUAAAAUGUUAAAGAAAUAACGAUGAUCCAGAAAAGAAAAGUGGCAACCAAUGCAAGCAACGCAAAAGAAGUUUCAU
Molecule: long non-coding RNA, 543 nt
Filed under: Cricetulus griseus (Chinese hamster)
Lineage: Eukaryota; Metazoa; Chordata; Mammalia; Rodentia; Cricetidae
Description: lncRNA (ENSCGRG00015040146.1)
Source: RNAcentral